AACGGACAUUGAUAAAUUUGAUCAUUUGUAAAGAACAUAGAGAUGGUAUUUUUGACGUUCUCAUUCAAAAUUUGAUUGAAACGUUGAUUGUCGAGGGAGAAGUCAUGGAAAACUCGGCAAGAAAAUUAAUUGCGAAAAGAGAAUAUUUCUCUCUGUUGCCUAUUCUUCCCGUGCUCAAGUAUGUUAAAUCUGUGUUGCCUUUGUUCUCUCAAGCAUUACAGGGAGUUCGUACUCCAACUCAAGCAGCAAUCCCAAAUCUUUUUGUUAAUUUGGAGUCCGUGGUAG
Molecule: long non-coding RNA, 285 nt
Organism: Xenia sp. Carnegie-2017
Lineage: Eukaryota; Metazoa; Cnidaria; Anthozoa; Malacalcyonacea; Xeniidae
Exons: 3
Source: RefSeq, a predicted model, not a curated record